RNAcentral lists this ribosomal RNA (237 nucleotides) under uncultured bacterium. RNAcentral's name for it is "partial 16S ribosomal RNA". It matches the Rfam family "Bacterial small subunit ribosomal RNA", at positions 112 to 334 of the family's 1533-position model. The record is from RNAcentral.
AACACGUGGGUAACCUGCCUGGAAGUGGGGGGAUAACCUGGGGAAACUCGGGCUAACACCGCAUACGUUCUCCGUGCUUCGGCACAGAGAGGAAAGCUGGCCUAUGCUUGCAAGCCAGCGCUUUCAGAGGGGCCCGCGGCCGAUUAGCUAGUUGGUGGGGUAAUGGCCCACCAAGGCGACGAUUGGUAGCCGGCCUGAGAGGGCGAUCGGCCACACUGGGACUGAGACACGGCCCAG